This 333-nucleotide unclassified non-coding RNA is filed under the name Hevea brasiliensis (rubber tree). Lineage: Eukaryota; Viridiplantae; Streptophyta; Magnoliopsida; Malpighiales; Euphorbiaceae. The record is from RNAcentral.
AAUCCAUUUUCCAUUCUUUUUCUUUUUCUUCUCCAACUGGGAAGAUGUUCGAGAUUGAUGCGUGUCGCACGAGGGAACAACGUAUGGCUUGUCUUCGUGCUUCACCAACUGGGGCUUUGGACGGUGUGCUUCUUCAUGGUUCUUAUCCAGUGUGAUCCUUCAAAAGGCCGUGCUCACAGAAGAAGAGGAUAGUCAGACCCAUAAAACCAAAGACUUAAGUUUUUUCCUUUGUGAGUCUGUGUAUGUUUUGUCCUUCAUGGUCAAGAUUCAUAUUAUUAUGGAUUUCAUGGUCUGAUUGUUCCUGUUUGAUUUGAAAUUGGGAGAAAUUUUUUU